Molecule: ribosomal RNA, 699 nt
Filed under: Escherichia sp.
Lineage: Bacteria; Pseudomonadati; Pseudomonadota; Gammaproteobacteria; Enterobacterales; Enterobacteriaceae
Description: partial 16S rRNA
Source: RNAcentral
UUCGUCCAGGGGGCCGCCUUCGCCACCGGUAUUCCUCCAGAUCUCUACGCAUUUCACCGCUACACCUGGAAUUCUACCCCCCUCUACGAGACUCAAGCUUGCCAGUAUCAGAUGCAGUUCCCAGGUUGAGCCCGGGGAUUUCACAUCUGACUUAACAAACCGCCUGCGUGCGCUUUACGCCCAGUAAUUCCGAUUAACGCUUGCACCCUCCGUAUUACCGCGGCUGCUGGCACGGAGUUAGCCGGUGCUUCUUCUGCGGGUAACGUCAAUGAGCAAAGGUAUUAACUUUACUCCCUUCCUCCCCGCUGAAAGUACUUUACAACCCGAAGGCCUUCUUCAUACACGCGGCAUGGCUGCAUCAGGCUUGCGCCCAUUGUGCAAUAUUCCCCACUGCUGCCUCCCGUAGGAGUCUGGACCGUGUCUCAGUUCCAGUGUGGCUGGUCAUCCUCUCAGACCAGCUAGGGAUCGUCGCCUUGGUGAGCCGUUACCCCACCAACAAGCUAAUCCCAUCUGGGCACAUCCGAUGGCAAGAGGCCCGAAGGUCCCCCUCUUUGGUCUUGCGACGUUAUGCGGUAUUAGCUACCGUUUCCAGUAGUUAUCCCCCUCCAUCAGGCAGUUUCCCAGACAUUACUCACCCGUCCGCCACUCGUCAGCAAAGAAGCAAGCUUCUUCCUGUUACCGUUCGACUUGCAUGUGUUA